GACGAACGCUGGCGGCGUGCUUAACACAUGCAAGUCGAACGGAAAGGCCCUGCUUUUGUGGGGUGCUCGAGUGGCGAACGGGUGAGUAACACGUGAGUAACCUGCCCUUGACUUUGGGAUAACUUCAGGAAACUGGGGCUAAUACCGGAUAGGAGCUCCUGCUGCAUGGUGGGGGUUGGAAAGUUUCGGCGGGUGGGGAUGGACUCGCGGCUUAUCAGCUUGUUGGUGGGGUAGUGGCUUACCAAGGCUUUGACGGGUAGCCGGCCUGAGAGGGUGACCGGCCACAUUGGGACUGAGAUACGGCCCAGACUCCUACGGGAGGCAGCAGGGGGGAAUAUUGCACAAUGGGAGGAAGCCUGAUGCAGCAACGCCGCGUGCGGGAUGACGGCCUUCGGGUUGUAAACCGCUUUCGCCUGUGACGAAGCGGGAGUGACGGUAAUGGGUAAAGAAGCACCGGCUAACUACGUG
This 468-nucleotide ribosomal RNA is filed under the name uncultured bacterium. RNAcentral describes it as "partial 16S ribosomal RNA". It matches the Rfam family "Bacterial small subunit ribosomal RNA", at positions 28 to 507 of the family's 1533-position model. The record is from RNAcentral.